Molecule: ribosomal RNA, 1499 nt
Filed under: metagenome
Description: bacterial SSU rRNA
Rfam family: Bacterial small subunit ribosomal RNA
Source: RNAcentral
GAGUUUGAUCAUGGCUCAGAUUGAACGCUGGCGGCAGGCCUAACACAUGCAAGUCGAACGGUAACAGGAAGAAGCUUGCUUCUUUGCUGACGAGUGGCGGACGGGUGAGUAAUGUCUGGGAAACUGCCUGAUGGAGGGGGAUAACUACUGGAAACGGUAGCUAAUACCGCAUAACGUCGCAAGACCAAAGAGGGGGACCUUCGGGCCUCUUGCCAUCGGAUGUGCCCAGAUGGGAUUAGCUAGUAGGUGGGGUAACGGCUCACCUAGGCGACGAUCCCUAGCUGGUCUGAGAGGAUGACCAGCCACACUGGAACUGAGACACGGUCCAGACUCCUACGGGAGGCAGCAGUGGGGAAUAUUGCACAAUGGGCGCAAGCCUGAUGCAGCCAUGCCGCGUGUAUGAAGAAGGCCUUCGGGUUGUAAAGUACUUUCAGCGGGGAGGAAGGGAGUAAAGUUAAUACCUUUGCUCAUUGACGUUACCCGCAGAAGAAGCACCGGCUAACUCCGUGCCAGCAGCCGCGGUAAUACGGAGGGUGCAAGCGUUAAUCGGAAUUACUGGGCGUAAAGCGCACGCAGGCGGUUUGUUAAGUCAGAUGUGAAAUCCCCGGGCUCAACCUGGGAACUGCAUCUGAUACUGGCAAGCUUGAGUCUCGUAGAGGGGGGUAGAAUUCCAGGUGUAGCGGUGAAAUGCGUAGAGAUCUGGAGGAAUACCGGUGGCGAAGGCGGCCCCCUGGACGAAGACUGACGCUCAGGUGCGAAAGCGUGGGGAGCAAACAGGAUUAGAUACCCUGGUAGUCCACGCCGUAAACGAUGUCGACUUGGAGGUUGUGCCCUUGAGGCGUGGCUUCCGGAGCUAACGCGUUAAGUCGACCGCCUGGGGAGUACGGCCGCAAGGUUAAAACUCAAAUGAAUUGACGGGGGCCCGCACAAGCGGUGGAGCAUGUGGUUUAAUUCGAUGCAACGCGAAGAACCUUACCUGGUCUUGACAUCCACGGAAGUUUUCAGAGAUGAGAAUGUGCCUCCGGGAACCGUGAGACAGGUGCUGCAUGGCUGUCGUCAGCUCGUGUUGUGAAAUGUUGGGUUAAGUCCCGCAACGAGCGCAACCCUUAUCCUUUGUUGCCAGCGGUCCGGCCGGGAACUCAAAGGAGACUGCCAGUGAUAAACUGGAGGAAGGUGGGGAUGACGUCAAGUCAUCGUGGCCCUUACGACCAGGGCUACACACGUGCUACAAUGGCGCAUACAAAGAGAAGCGACCUCGCGAGAGCAAGCGGACCUCAUAAAGUGCGUCGUAGUCCGGAUUGGAGUCUGCAACUCGACUCCAUGAAGUCGGAAUCGCUAGUAAUCGUGGAUCAGAAUGCCACGGUGAAUACGUUCCCGGGCCUUGUACACACCGCCCGUCACACCAUGGGAGUGGGUUGCAAAAGAAGUAGGUAGCUUAACCUUCGGGAGGGCGCUUACCACUUUGUGAUUCAUGACUGGGGUGAAGUCGUAACAAGGUA